Molecule: ribosomal RNA, 483 nt
Filed under: uncultured bacterium
Lineage: Bacteria
Description: bacterial SSU rRNA
Rfam family: Bacterial small subunit ribosomal RNA
Source: RNAcentral
GAUGAACGCUAGCGGCAGGCCUAACACAUGCAAGUCGAACGGUAACAGCAGAGCUUGCUCUGGCUGACGAGUGGCGCACGGGUGCGUAACGCGUAUACAAUCUACCUAUUACAGGGGUAUAGCCUUUAGAAAUGAAGAAUAAUCCCCCAUAGUAUUUUAUUGGCAUCAGAUAGAGAUUAAAGAUUUAUCGGUAAUAGAUGAGUAUGCGUUCUAUUAGCUAGUAGGUGAGGUAACGGCUCACCUAGGCGACGAUAGAUAGGGGCCCUGAGAGGGGGAUCCCCCACACUGGUACUGAGACACGGACCAGACUCCUACGGGAGGCAGCAGUGAGGAAUAUUGGACAAUGGGCGAGAGCCUGAUCCAGCCAUGCCGCGUGCAGGAAGACUGCCCCUAUGGGUUUGUAAACUGCUUUUAUAUAGGAAGAAACCAUUCUACGUGUAGAGUGCUGACGGUACUAUAAGAAUAAGCAUCGGCUAACUCCGU